Long non-coding RNA from Neopelma chrysocephalum (saffron-crested tyrant-manakin), 855 nucleotides. RefSeq lists it as uncharacterized. The transcript has 3 exons. The record is from RefSeq and is a predicted model, not a curated record. NCBI's taxonomy places the organism in Eukaryota, Metazoa, Chordata, Aves, Passeriformes, Pipridae.
UAAACUGUGUUUUCCCCUGGCAGUGAAAGCCUCCCCUUCCAAGAAGAGCCGGAGCGGUCCCGCGAUUCCCAGACGGAGCUGCCAGGGGGGGAUCCCGGCCCAGCUCCACGGGGGCUCCGACACCAAAGCACAAGUGACCACGGAGGCAGACGUGGAGCAAGGGUCCCACCUGGGCCGCCCGGAUCUCCUGCCCCGCACUCUGCCCGUGGACGAAGCCAACAGCGACUCGGUGGCCACCACCCUGUCCACGUCCUCCCUGGGCAGUGGGGGCCUCAAUUCCCCUGCCAACAGGUGUCCCCCCCCUUCUGUUUCCCCAGCGGCUCCUCCCCCGGCCCCUCCGGCCCCGAGCGCUCCCGGGAGCUGAGGGAGCAGCUCCAGGACCUGCAGGAGACAGAGAUCAGCUUUGUGAGUAUUCCCAGAGGGAAAACUCGGCCCGGGGAUGGAGCAGGAGGGAGGAUUUGGGGGUUGGUUUGAUCCCUGUCCCGUUGGGAACAUGGAAUGGGAGAGGGGCAGGAGCAGCUCUUCGCCCCUCACCAAAUCCACCUCCUGGGGCUGAUCCACCUCUUGGGGGUGGAUCUGAUGCCCCAAAAGUGGAUUUGGGAAUCGGAUAAAAGGGGAGGGAAUCAGAGGAAACCUGGGAUUGGAUAAAAAGCAGGGAAUUCCCUCGUUCCUGAAGGCCUGGAGUUGUGCUGGUGGUGGGACAGGAACAGGGGGAUCUCCAGAUUCCAGAGGUGUCUCCAGUGGGAUCCCAAGCCCUGGAAGUUGUGGGACAGGAACAGGGGGUUCUCCACAUUCCAGAGGUGUCUCCAGUGGGAUCCCAAGCCCUGGAAGUUGUGCUGGUGGUGGGACAGGAAC